AUGACCCUUCUUGUAGUUGGGGGUGCAACCAUAGGUUUUGGCAUUGCAAGCCACAUCUGCUCAAUUUACGCACCACAUCAUAUUCUGGCAUUGCAAGCCACAUCUGCUCAAUUUACGCACCACAUCAUAUUCUGCCAUUAUUAA
This 144-nucleotide ribosomal RNA is filed under the name Triticum aestivum (bread wheat). RNAcentral describes it as "partial small subunit ribosomal RNA". Lineage: Eukaryota; Viridiplantae; Streptophyta; Magnoliopsida; Poales; Poaceae. The record is from RNAcentral.